RNAcentral lists this ribosomal RNA (739 nucleotides) under uncultured Providencia sp. RNAcentral describes it as "bacterial SSU rRNA". It matches the Rfam family "Bacterial small subunit ribosomal RNA", at positions 764 to 1502 of the family's 1533-position model. The record is from RNAcentral. Lineage: Bacteria; Pseudomonadati; Pseudomonadota; Gammaproteobacteria; Enterobacterales; Morganellaceae.
GGGAGCAAACAGGAUUAGAUACCCUGGUAGUCCACGCUGUAAACGAUGUCGAUUUGAAGGUUGUUCCCUUGAGGAGUGGCUUUCGGAGCUAACGCGUUAAAUCGACCGCCUGGGGAGUACGGCCGCAAGGUUAAAACUCAAAUGAAUUGACGGGGGCCCGCACAAGCGGUGGAGCAUGUGGUUUAAUUCGAUGCAACGCGAAGAACCUUACCUACUCUUGACAUCCAGAGAAUUUAGCAGAGAUGCUUUAGUGCCUUCGGGAACUCUGAGACAGGUGCUGCAUGGCUGUCGUCAGCUCGUGUUGUGAAAUGUUGGGUUAAGUCCCGCAACGAGCGCAACCCUUAUCCUUUGUUGCCAGCACGUAAUGGUGGGAACUCAAAGGAGACUGCCGGUGGUAAACCGGAGGAAGGUGGGGAUGACGUCAAGUCAUCAUGGCCCUUACGAGUAGGGCUACACACGUGCUACAAUGGCGUAUACAAAGAGAAGCGAACUUGCGAGAGUAAGCGGAACUCAUAAAGUACGUCGUAGUCCGGAUUGGAGUCUGCAACUCGACUCCAUGAAGUCGGAAUCGCUAGUAAUCGUAGAUCAGAAUGCUACGGUGAAUACGUUCCCGGGCCUUGUACACACCGCCCGUCACACCAUGGGAGUGGGUUGCAAAAGAAGUAGGUAGCUUAACCUUCGGGAGGGCGCUUACCACUUUGUGAUUCAUGACUGGGGUGAAGUCGUAACAAGGUAACCA